Cercocebus atys (sooty mangabey) is the source of this 747-nucleotide long non-coding RNA. RefSeq lists it as uncharacterized. The record is from RefSeq and is a predicted model, not a curated record. Lineage: Eukaryota; Metazoa; Chordata; Mammalia; Primates; Cercopithecidae. The transcript is spliced from 4 exons.
GCGCGACGCGGGCAGGCGAGCGGGCGAGUGCGCGCACGCCGAACCCUUUCAGCUCGCGCGCGGGCUGCGGGAGGGACUACGUUCAAGAGUCGUGGGCGUAGGAAAAAAGCGAUUGGUACUGGGGCGGGGCGGAGGGCGAGUGCGCGCACGCGCACGAAUGGGAGUGCGAACGCUGGCUGCGCGGAGGCCGCCGGACUCUGACUGCGGGGAGGCCGCUGGACUCUGGUCGCGGCCUUAGUCCGCUGAUCUUCGCUUGGGUGCCCGCCCUUAGCGGCGCGGCGUUGAAUUCCGGGAAAUGGGAGCUUCAGGCUCGCUCCGUGCGGCUUGAGUGGAUUUCAGCCAGUUGCAACUGAAAGAGCCCUGCCUCAGUUUGACUGUGAAUGGGGUUGCAAAUAAUAAACCUCAGAGAAACUGAAACUGGCUGAUUCGAGAGACACAACCAAUCUAAAGAUGAAGACAUCACACAGAAGAGAAGAGAACCGAGGAAAUCACAGAGAAAUGGAGCUAGAGCUGCUGGGUGAAGCUGACUCUGAGGCUUCUCAUAAACUCUGUGCUUCCAAUUGUGAAAAUAAAUGCAGUUCUCAUCUUUUUUUUUUUUUUGGUUUUGGGGAAGACUCUGUGGUAACACAAGAAGACAGUCAUCUACAAGCCAAGACCAGAGGCCUCAGAAGAGAACAACCCUAGUGAUACCUUGAUCUCAGACUUCUAGCCUCCAGAACUGUGAGAAAAUAAAUUUCUGUCAUCUCA